CAGCUGAAGGUUUGAGACUCAGGAUGGGGUCAUGGCUGAGACUAUGAGGGCUGCUCGUGCAUGACCCUGCCUGCUGGCCUCCAUGGGCCCACUAUCUGAAUGUGGUUACCCUUCUCCCCAGGACCAGGUGCCACCUCCUCUGGGAAGCUUUCCCUGCCCGUCCACAGGGUAUGCCUCCUUGUUCCUCUCCUGCCAUCGGUUUACGUGCCUGUCUCCAUCAACAGACCAGGAGCUCCUGAGGACAGGGACUGAGUCUGCCUGAUUCAUCUCUGCAUUCCUAGCACUUACCUUGGUGCUUAGUGAAAGCUCGAACCUGCCUGGGUUCCCACCUUGUCUCUGCUACCCCCAGCUCUGUGAACUCAGAGUCAUUUUUCUCUCCCCGAGUGGCACCGGGCUCAGCAGACACUCUGGCCAUGAAGGCAUCUUCUGACUCAAGCAGGUCUAGAUGUCUACCCCCAAGGAAUCCCAGAACAG
RNAcentral lists this long non-coding RNA (474 nucleotides) under Homo sapiens (human). RNAcentral describes it as "non-protein coding LINC02517:9". Lineage: Eukaryota; Metazoa; Chordata; Mammalia; Primates; Hominidae. The record is from RNAcentral.